AUGAUGGUCAUAUCUGAGGUCAACAUUGGCUGCAAUGAAUCGGACGCUGUGAUCGCGAGCUCACAGGAGCUCGGAAUCGUACCCGUCCAGAAUUGCUGUGAGAUUCGAUACGCGCCCGACAGAUGGGCCCCGCCCGCACGGAAGGUUGCACGGCGUCGACGGAGCGAGGCCCGAGCCGUGGCUCGAGACGUCGCCGGCGUCCUGAUCCGUGGAUCAGAUUCGGUGCAUUCCGGUAGCGCCGACAGUGCACGCAGUAAAUUCAGUAGGUGGGGCGUUGGGUGGUAUGGCAGUGAAGUUGGAUUAGGCAUUCUUCGCAGGCGGCGAGACGGUGAGGAAAUCUACUACGGCGGAGGCGAUUCCGCGUCCGAGGGAGCUCACAGGUGGUCCAGCGGCGAUGCAGCCGAUAAACAGCUACUAGAGGAGGUGAAUGAUAACAACAGCACUAUGGAGCCUGUGCGGUUGCCGGUCGUGGCACCGGCAGAGGUUGAGCUCCCAGCACCUGAAGCUUCAAGUGCGGACGGCCAGAUCUGUCGUGAAGAGGCCCCUGCAGAAGCUGGAAGUGCAGAUAAGGGGCAGAGUUCAGAGCACUCUGUAGAGCAGUUGGAUCCGUGGACCAGGAAAACAUGCUUGGAGGUUACUGACAGCGAAUUUCGAUGGGGCCUCUCCACUACCCAGUUAUGGCACCGCCGCACCGGAGGCGGGGGAGCUCCUGCCUAUGGCAGGGGGCAGCGCCACGGGGCAGAUCUGUGCGGCGCAAGGGGCGGCAGAUGCGAAACUGAAGCUUCCCCACAACCUUCGGAGCAGUCAAUUGAGCAGAUGGACACGACACACGACGGACCCCAAUGUCCUGAUCGAGCUACUGUCAUGGAGAGGGCAAUACGUGGAUUUGCUUCAGAUAUUGGAGACAACGCCAUUGUGCCGAAGCUCGGAACAAUAUUCGAUACAUUGGGUGAAGCAUACGAUUUUUACAAUCUGUAUUUAUGGGAGAAAGGAUUUGCCAUUCGAUAUGAAAGUACAUUGAACGUAAUACGUGUUGGGUUGGCCAUCUCGGGGUGUUGGUACGGCAAGGAUAACGAGACCACAGGCGCUCGCGCUCACAACAACACUUUCGCCAUCUGCAAUGGUAACUUUAUUGGUGUAUUGGUCUUCCAGACUGUUCCAAAGGAUGAGGCUAUGAUCUCAUCGUGCAGCGUUAGAGGUUAA
This 1203-nucleotide ribosomal RNA is filed under the name Triticum aestivum (bread wheat). RNAcentral's name for it is "partial small subunit ribosomal RNA". Lineage: Eukaryota; Viridiplantae; Streptophyta; Magnoliopsida; Poales; Poaceae. The record is from RNAcentral.